UAACAUCUUUAAAAUAAAAUAAAAAUGCAGGUUCCCAGGCCUUGCCUCUGGCACCUGGAAUUCCAUUUGUCAGUUGGCCCAAGAACAUCUGUGGUCCAGACGCAAGCUCCAGCCCCAACCAACCGCCUGCUGGGCCGCUCUCUCCUGUGACCACAGGAUUACAGCUCCCUCUACUGGCCGAGCUCCGCUGGCGGAGGCCUUGCUUGUGGUCAGACGCACAGAAUGUGGCCAGAGUCUGACAAAGGCUGGGGAAAGAGGACUGAAUGCUCCUGGCCACCCGUGGGGGCCCCAGGAAAUCCUCAGAGCCCUUGGGGAGGACAGACGCAUUUGUAGACCUGUCUGCCCGCACAACAAUCUGGUCCCACGAUAUGAACCAGUCAAACCUGCAGCUGGCCAACAGCCACUCACAGCUACCGCACCUGGUUUGGCUGCACUGGGGGUUGUGUGCCGGCCUUGAACAACACCAGGAGGAACUAAGCAGGGGUGGCGAGGCGGCCUGGGCCGGCGUCUCUUCCACCUCCGGGCCAGGGCUUCCCAGGCUGCUGGCAGCAGCUGGAUGUGACCCACACUAGGCAGGGAGGUCAAGAUAAAAACAACAGUAAAACCAUAGAACAAGGAAAUCCACAAAGGUCUGCAGGCCCAGCGCCGCAAGGGAGAGCUGGGGCGGGUGUGCCACCUGGUGGCCAAGCCUGGUACCUCGGCGCCUGGUCUGGCUUCGAAGCCGGGCUCGGCCCUGGGCUCCACACGCCAAGGACACAGACUCCAGAAGCUCAGGCUCUACCUGCAGCAGCCCAGGCCUUGGGAUGGAAGUCACACGGAAUAGAAAUCACCCAUUUCCAUGCACAAUUCAGUGGCUCUUAGCACAUGGACAGAGUUGGGUGAUCAUUACCACAACGGAUCCAGAACAUUUCCAUCCCGAAAGAAACUCCGUGCCCUUACUAGCCAGCCAGCUCCACAUCCCCUUCCUCGAUUCCUGGCAACUCUCGCCAGCUGUGUCUAUCAGUUUGCCAGUUCUGGACGUUUCACAUAAACACAAUAAUACACUCUGUGGCCUCUG
Canis lupus familiaris (dog) is the source of this 1057-nucleotide long non-coding RNA. RefSeq lists it as uncharacterized. Lineage: Eukaryota; Metazoa; Chordata; Mammalia; Carnivora; Canidae. The record is from RefSeq and is a predicted model, not a curated record. The transcript is spliced from 2 exons.